AAUUAGCCCCGAUUGAAGCAUUUGUUUGAGCUCAUUUUUUUGGAUUCUGCGCGGCUUCGCCGCGCAGAAUCCAAAAAAAUAGCGAGUGCGGAAAGCGGGAAAAAGC
Molecule: unclassified non-coding RNA, 106 nt
Filed under: Chryseobacterium takakiae
Lineage: Bacteria; Pseudomonadati; Bacteroidota; Flavobacteriia; Flavobacteriales; Weeksellaceae
Description: Flavo-1 RNA
Source: RNAcentral